GAGUUGCAGGUGGCCAGGGGGCUGUGGUCAUUCUAGAAGCCGGACUUUCACUGUGAGCCAGAGUGCUCCCUGGCCGGCCUUAAAUGGUAGGACUGCCGAGAAGAAAACUGAGUUCCGAAGAACCCCGGGCAGAGCGAACCAACCGGCCACCCUGUGAACUGGAGGGCUGGGGAGACCUGUUGGCCCCAAGGACGUAGCGUUUGCACCGCUGAACGCCCGACGUGGAGCCGACUGUUUGGGCGGCCCAAGCGUGGAGGCCUACCGAGUGGGCUGGAGAUGAGAGAUCGAGACCGCAGGGAGAGGCAUCUAAGGGAGACAAGCGUGCGCUUCAAUCAAACUUGUGAUGAGAGAAGAGUCACAACUCUUGGAGAUUAAGAGAAUUUGGAAAGUGAAAGAAAUCCAAAUAGGUACUCACUGGGCCCUCAGUGUAUCAGGUCAAAGUCAGCACAAGACCGAAACAUCAUUAGCUGUCCUUCCGCACUGAGACAGAUUCCUGCAGGACUCAACAUUUAUAGCUCAGGAGGCACAGAGCUUCCCCAGAGGGAACAUGCUGGAUAAUUUAAAAUCUCUGAGGUUCUUGAGGAAAAGGGGGCUUUCUCCUUUCUGUCAUCCCAGUAGAACACAAUAAAACUUGUCAGUCACACACCGUGGUAUAUACUGCAGACAAAUACUCCAAUCUAGGCGUAGGAGGGCAUGGGUUUAUAUUAUGUGUGCUAAGUCUUCUCUACAAAGAUUGGAUAUAGUGCUGGUGUAGAAAAUGAAACCAUCGAUAUUGAGUGUCCUGGGAGGUCAGAUUGCUGUCAGAUAUGACUGCUGGACAUGGACACAGACAUGGUCAUGGACAUGGUAAAGUGGAACUUCCAGAUUACAGGUGGUGGAAAACUGAAGGGGCACCAUUAGAAAUGAUGAUGAAGAAGCUUGCUGCAGGAAGGUUGAGGGAUCCAUGGGCUUGCAAUGAGUCUUGGAGAUACAUGGGCAGCUUUGCAAGCAAUGCCACCUUCCCGAGUGUAAUCUUAAAAGGAUUCAAAUGGGGGUUUGCUGCGUUUGUGGCAGCUUUAGGGGCUGAAUAUUUCCUGGCUUCCCAGAAUGAUGAUAAGCAUCACUGAAGAGAACACCUUGUGACGUCUCUUUCAUAAAAAUAACGUUCUCUCACUGUAGCAUCCUUGGCUGUAUGUUUGUCCUUGAAAGAGGAAGAAAUAAAUAAA
Molecule: long non-coding RNA, 1205 nt
Filed under: Mus musculus (house mouse)
Lineage: Eukaryota; Metazoa; Chordata; Mammalia; Rodentia; Muridae
Description: ST8 alpha-N-acetyl-neuraminide alpha-2,8- sialyltransferase 3, opposite strand
Source: RNAcentral